This 62-nucleotide transfer RNA is filed under the name Alobaldia tobae. RNAcentral describes it as "tRNA-Ala". The record is from RNAcentral. Lineage: Eukaryota; Metazoa; Arthropoda; Insecta; Hemiptera; Cicadellidae.
AAGGAUUGUAUUUAAUUAUAAUAUUUAAUUUGCAAUUAAAAGGUGUCUAAGGAUCAAUCUUU